UGAGUACGAGAUGCUACGGCAUCGAAGCAGUCUAUGUCAUACUUCCAAGAAAAGCUUGCACUGUCAUAAACAAAGAAUGCCUGUACCAUAACCGACACAGGUGGGUAGGUAGAGUAUACUAAGGGGCGCGAGAUAACUCUCUCUAAGGAACUCGGCAAAAUGACUCCGUAACUUCGGGAGAAGGAGUGCCUUAUUUCUAAGGUUGCAAUAACAAGAUCCAAGCAACUGUUUACCAAAAACACAGGUCUCCGCUAAGUCGUAAGACGAUGUAUGGGGGCUGACGCCUGCCCAGUGCCAGAAGGUUAAAGAAGUUGGUUAGCAUUAGCGAAGCUGAUAACUGAAGCCCUGGUGAACGGCGGCCGUAACAAUAACGGUCCUAAGGUAGCGAAAUUCCUUGUCGGGUAAGUUCCGACCCGCACGAAAGGCGUAAUGAUUUGGAUACUGUCUCGGAGAGGGGCUCGGUGAAAUAGACUUGUCUGUGAAGAUGCGGACUACCUGCACCUGGACAGAAAGACCCUAUGAAGCUUUACUGUAACUUGAGAUUGAAAUUGGACUUUAUUUGCGCAGUAUAGGUGGGAGGCGUUGUGAAUAAUCUUGCGGGAUUGUUGGAGCCAUCAGUGAGAUACCACUCUUGUAAUGUUAGAUUUCUAACUUUGUAUCAUUAUCUGGUCAAAGAACAGUUUCAGGCGGGCAGUUUGACUGGGGCGGUCGCCUCCCAAAGGGUAACGGAGGCGCACAAAGGUUUCCUCUGAACGGGUAGAAAUCGUAUCUAGAGUGUAAAGGCAUAAGGAAGCUUGACUGUGAGACCUACAAGUCGAGCAGGGACGAAAGUCGGUCUUAGUGAUCUGACGGUGCUGAGUGGAAAGGCCGUCACUCAACGGAUAAAAGUUACUCUAGGAUAACAGGCUGAUCUCCCCCAAGAGUUCACAUCGACGGGGAGGUUUGGCACCUCGAUGUCGGCUCAUCGCAUCCUGGGGCGGUAGUCCGUCCCAAGGGUUGGGCUGUUCGCCCAUGAAAGCGGUACGCGAGCUGGGUUCAGAACGUCGUGAGACAGUUCGGUCCAUAUCCGGUGUAGGCGUUAGAAUAUUGAGAGGAGCCUUCUCUAGUACGAGAGGACCGAGAAGGACAUACCUCUGGUGUACCAGUUAUCGUGCCAACGGUAAACGCUGGGUAGCUAUGUAUGGAGUGGAUAACCGCUGAAAGCAUCUAAGUGGGAAGCCCACCUCAAGAUAAGUAUUCUCAUC
RNAcentral lists this ribosomal RNA (1244 nucleotides) under metagenome. RNAcentral's name for it is "bacterial LSU rRNA". It matches the Rfam family "Bacterial large subunit ribosomal RNA", at positions 1564 to 2818 of the family's 2925-position model. The record is from RNAcentral.